GGCAAAAACACGUCGUAGUUUCGUAAAAAAAAUAUUACAAUGAUCAUUUCAAAAAAGUUUGAAUAAUUUGUACUGCACACAUGGCAAAUUUGCGAAAAACUGUUGUAUUCCUACAUAGAAGCAUGACAAGUUAUGUAAAAAUGUAAAUGUAACAAAAUAAAAAGAAAAAAGCAUGGCAAUUAUCUAAAAAACUGUAAUUGUACCCUAAAGAAAAGACAAAAUCAUGGCAGAUCAGAAAAAUGAUUUGUUGACCAAUCGAUUGUUUGAUUACAGUAGCAGCAGCGUCACUAAAUUAACCAUGGCAAAAAAGAAGAAGUUGACAAGGCAAACAAUUUAGGUGAUAUGUCAAAUUAAAUCACUGAAUAAACAUGGCAACUUGGCACAAGUGUGCAAAUUAGUACAUCUGAAGGAGACACGCUGAAUAUAGUGGUAAGCUCGAUCUAGUAAACUGAGCAUUCUAGAGCAGCAAAAUGCAUAAGCAUAGCAGCAGCAAACAAACGCUAAAAAAUGAUCUGUACUGAGAGGGAGGAGAAGCACUGACGGCCGACGAAGGACUGAUGACGCGUGCUCUUCCAUGCGCGGCGACGGAGCAGGAAACGGCGAAGACGAUGUUGACGCACCGAUGCUCCUCCAUGCUCGGCCACCGCGGACGCUCCUCGUGCGGCAACCGCGGAGUGCCUCUGCUCCUCUAGACGCAACAACGGGCAGCCUGAUGCCUCCUCGUGCAGCCUGAUGGCUCCACGCUUCGAUGGCUCCUCUAGACGCAUCGAUGGAUUCAAGUGGAGGGCACGCGGGAGGCGGCCUAUUAGACCGGCGGCGGCGCGACGGCCGGCGGGGACGACGAGCCCACAAAUCUCCACCGCCCAGCACCUCGGCCACGGUGACCGGCAACCACCACGCGCGCUAGGCUAUCUCCGCCACCGCCAACACGGCGCUGCGCACCAGCAUCGUCGCCGAGUACUGCCUCCGUCCGCCACCGUCGAAGAUUCGAAUCACGGCAUCGCCGCAUGCCUCCUCCCGCUCCUCGUCUCCGCCGCCUACGCCUCCUCUCCCAGGCAUCGCACACUUGGGUACGGCGCAGGUCAUCUUAUCGCCGACUGGCUCGUCGCCGACCGCCUGGCCGUCUUCGCAAGAGCUCUCUCCCUCUGUCCCAUGCGCGAGGGUGGGGAACGGAGAAAAGGAUAAGAGAGAGAGAGGUGUGUCGCAGUGCGGGCG
This 1215-nucleotide ribosomal RNA is filed under the name Triticum aestivum (bread wheat). RNAcentral's name for it is "partial small subunit ribosomal RNA". Lineage: Eukaryota; Viridiplantae; Streptophyta; Magnoliopsida; Poales; Poaceae. The record is from RNAcentral.